CCUACGGGGUGCAGCAGUGGGGAAUAUUGGGCAAUGGGCGCAAGCCUGACCCAGCAACGCCGCGUGAAGGAAGAAGGCUUUCGGGUUGUAAACUUCUUUUAUGGGGGAAGAGCAGAAGACGGUACCCCUUGAAUAAGCCACGGCUAACUACGUGCCAGCAGCCGCGGUAAUACGUAGGUGGCAAGCGUUGUCCGGAUUUACUGGGUGUAAAGGGCGUGCAGCCGGAGAGACAAGUCAGAUGUGAAAUCCACGGGCUCAACCCGUGAACUGCAUUUGAAACUGUUUCCCUUGAGUGUCGGAGAGGUAAUCGGAAUUCCUUGUGUAGCGGUGAAAUGCGUAGAUAUAAGGAAGAACACCAGUGGCGAAGGCGGAUUACUGGACGAUAACUGACGGUGAGGCGCGAAAGCGUGGGGAGCAAACAGGAUUAGAUACCCUUGUAGUC
Molecule: ribosomal RNA, 442 nt
Filed under: uncultured bacterium
Lineage: Bacteria
Description: partial 16S ribosomal RNA
Rfam family: Bacterial small subunit ribosomal RNA
Source: RNAcentral